Molecule: ribosomal RNA, 460 nt
Filed under: uncultured bacterium
Lineage: Bacteria
Description: partial 16S ribosomal RNA
Rfam family: Bacterial small subunit ribosomal RNA
Source: RNAcentral
CCUACGGGUGGCAGCAGUUAUUACUAUUUUUCCCUUUUCUUCCUCCUUCCCCCGCCCCGUCGCGUGCCGGAUGACGGCCCUACGGGUUGUAAACUGCUUUUAUACGGGAAUAACGCGCCUUAUGUGUAGGGCUUUGCAUGUACCGUAUGAAUAAGGACCGGCUAAUUCCGUGCCAGCAGCCGCGGUAAUACGGAAGGUCCGGGCGUUAUCCGGAUUUAUUGGGUUUAAAGGGAGCGUAGGCCGCAUGUCAAGCGUGCUGUGAAAUGUCCGGGCUCAACCCGGGCCUUGCAGCGCGAACUGGCGUGCUUGAGUCCGCGGAAAGCAGGCGGAAUUCGUCGUGUAGCGGUGAAAUGCUUAGAUAUGACGAAGAACCCCGAUUGCGAAGGCAGCUUGCUGCAGCGGAACUGACGCUGAUGCUCGAAAGCGCGGGUAUCGAACAGGAUUAGAUACCCGGGUAGUC